CUUCCAGGAGCGCGCUUGAGCGGACGCUGCCUACCGGUGGCCGGGCGGGAUGUAACCCGCUGCUGAGCUGGCAGCUCUGUGUCGCUAGGCUUCGGCCCGGCCGCCGCCGCACAUAAGCUGCGAGGAGGAGCUUUACGACUUCCCGGUCUUCGGGGCCGGGCGCAGCAAGGGCCAGACUCUGCGCUAGCAGGCGCUGCGCGCCAACCGGCCGGCACCUGUCGCAGAAGGUGCAACCGAUCGCACUGUCGCGCCGAAGCUCCUCAAUGGCCAGCGCCAGCUGCAGCCCCGGCCGCCCACUCGCCUCACCUGAGCCUGGGAGCUUGAAAAAUCACAUUUGAGAAGAGGAUUGGAUCCUAGCCAUAACAUAAAUAUAAGGGUGGAACCAAAGUUUUAAUCAAAGAAGGUGGUGUUCAGUUGCUGCUUACAAUAGUUGAUACCCCAGGAUUUGGAGAUGCAGUGGAUAACAGUAAUUGCUGGCAGCCUGUUAUCAAUUACAUUGAUAUUAAAUUUGAGGACUACCUAAAUGCAGAAUCGCGAGUGAACAGAUGUCAGAUGCCUGGUAACAGGGUGCAGUGUUGUUUAUACUUCAUUGCUCCUUCAGGACAUGGACCAUUACAUAACUGAAGACUCCCACCUUCAGGCAGGAUUGGGUAGUACGUGUUUGUAACUACCUGGCAUUGCCUUUUGUUGAGAGAAUUAUCUUCUGGUAACUUCAUUGAAAAGGCCUCUUUA
RNAcentral lists this long non-coding RNA (732 nucleotides) under Homo sapiens (human). RNAcentral's name for it is "non-protein coding lnc-USP53-8:5". Lineage: Eukaryota; Metazoa; Chordata; Mammalia; Primates; Hominidae. The record is from RNAcentral.